GGACUAAGCCAACCGAAUCAACAAACACCCAUUCUGCUUGUUUUCAAAUCCUUAAUCCCCUCUGCUAAAUGUCGAUUCAUCUUCACCAUGUGAGACUCUUCAAGCCUGAAGAAAUCUUAGCCCGAAAUCCCUCAUCAACUUCGAUUUCGACGAAGAAGGGAGAAGAAAUCCAUGGCUUGCUCGCACGGUAAGGUCCUUUCCUCUUUCACUUUAUUUGCUUUUGAAAUAAAAUAAAAUAAAAAAAUAAUACAAAACAAGAGAAUAAUCACAAAAAGAAAGCCCGGAGAUUUAGAUCGGAAAAUCACCUUCUGAUAUUGGUUGCCUUUUUUUAUUGCCUAUUGUGUGUUUCCAAAAAAAUACAAUGAUCGAAUGCCUUUCUUUUAUAGCCGAAAAUGAUAGAAAUAAAUAAGUAGAAAAUACAAAAUUCUUUCUUUGCUUUCGCAUUGGGUAUAUGCUGUUGUUGCUCGUUUGUUUUUUUUGCAGGUACGGGUGCAAGGCGCGUGUACGGGGGUCGCGCUGGCGCUUGGCGUGAGGCGUACGGAGGCGUGCGUGGCGGUCGUACAGGGCUGAAGGCGCAUGGAGGCUGCUGUUGUGGCGCAGGAGAAAAGGGGGUGACCUAGGGUUUCUAAAACUGUUGGGGAAAUGGGCUUAUUGGGCUUGCUCUGAUUUGAGUUUUAAUAUUAGUUUGGGCUUGUAAUAGGUAUUAGUUUGUAAAAGGAUAUUAUUCCCUUAAGCUUUAAUAAAUAACAAUUUCAUCCCUACUCAAUUAGCCUCUCAAUUGAGCUGAUUUUUCUCAAUUAACACUUUAUUCUAUCACUUUGAACUACUUUACAACUUUUGGAAAUCAUAAUUUCAGCACUAGACUUUAAUUCCAAACAUUUUCACAAUUAGGUUCUAACUAAUUCAUUCACUUCACUAACUUAAAUCAUACUCUAUUUCUAUUCAAGUUCCAUCCCAACUCAAAUUUAACUAUUAAAUUUUCAGCUUAUUUAACUAGUUUCGAAAUUUCCUCAAAUUAGCCCUUCAACAUAAAAUUUAUGAAUUACUUUACAAUUCAAUCCUUAUUUCAUUUCUAACUUGAAUUUCUAUCAAUUUAACCCUUAUUUCAUCAUUUUACUCAACAUGAACAUUAUCUAGAAAUCUAAUAACUUUCAAAAUAUCAACUUAGUUUCAUCAAAAUCUUAUUCCAAAGCUUCUAAAACAUCAAAAUUAAGUAAAAAGGGCUAAAUUGACUUACCUAUUAAACUUCCAAGCUUCACACCUUGAAUUUUCCCUUUUCUUCUUUCUUUUCUCUUUUUCUUUCUUUCCUUCCCCUGUCUCUGUUUCGUUUGCUUUGUUUCUUCAUUCUAUCCUUUUUUUUUCUUUAUUUCCCCCUUUUAUAUAUAUAUAUACACAUAUGUAUUUAUACUUAAAUAAUAAGUGUUAUUUAUUUAUUCAUGUGUAUAUUAUCAGCACAUUUGUAUUUAUUUAUAACCAUACAUUUGGCAUUGUUUAAUAUAUAUUUAUCAUAUAAAAUCUUAUAAUAUAAUUAUUUAAUUAAUAAAUAUCUUUUAUAAAAUAAUAAAUAUUUAUUUAAUAUCUAAUACAUGUAUUACAAAUGUAUGUAUUUUUAUCCAUACACUUGUAUAUUUUAUUUACUAUACAUUUGUCUUUAUACUAAUUUAUUUAUCAUAUAAAUAUCUUAUACUAUAACUAUAAUAAAUUAAUUUAAUAUCAUUUAUUACUAAUAAAUAUAUAUUAUAAUUAAAAUCUAAGUAAAAAUCUUAGAUUUUUACUUUAUAUGCCGCCGCACUUAUGCUAUAUAGCAUAAUUGCCAUUUUGGUACUUUUUAUUUUCUUUUAAUCUAUAAUUAAACUUUUACACUUUAUUCAAUUUAAUCCUUUUAUCCAAUUAUCCUUAAUUAAGCUAAAUUCACUUAAUUAAACUCUAAUUAACCACUCAAUUAACUUUUUAAAUAUUUUUGAUAAAUAUUUACGGAUUCAUUUUUUUUAGUAUCGGAGACUUGAAAAUACACUUUUUCGAUAAUCGUAAAAUUCGGGUUAUUACAAAUUAAACUCUAAUUAACCACUCAUUUUACUUCAUAAAUAUUUUUAAUAAAUAUUUACGAAUCCAUUUUUCAUAAACAGAGAUCCGAAAUUACACUUUUUCAGUAUCUGUAAAAUUCAGGUCAUUACAAUUCUCCCCCUUUAAUAAAUUUCAUCCUCGAAAUUUACCUAAAAGAGGUGGGGAUUCAGUAAUCUCACUGUUUCUUUCGGUUCCCAUGUUACUUCCUUAAUACUAUGACUUCACUUCUCAAGCUAGUAUCUCGAUCGGUUCUUUUUCUUCAUACAAUGAAUCAAUUUAAAUUUCAAUAUCCCUUGUCAAGCUAACAUAUAAGAGAUUUGACCUAUAUUUUCUGAGCAUCACAAAUUUUCUAUAGCUUCGGAAGUGAAACCAAUCAAUUCAUUACUAUCUGAAUUCUUUCUAUAAUUUCAGAUACCCAAACAGAACGAGAACUCAACUUCUCUUUUCCAAUUAGAUCUCAAAAUUUUCUUCCAACAUCCAACUUAAGAAAUACCUCAUCACUGGCAGAAUACUCGAUAUGCAUAAUUUCCAUAUGUUAAAACUGCUUUCAGCCUAUUUCAAUCUAAUUCGAUCACUUUCACUUUUCUUCGGUUUCACAAAUCAAACACUUUGCAUAUUCAUUUUCUCACAAUAUUAAAUCAAAUACUAUGAAAUUCUAUAUUUACAAUCAUACAGAAUUUCAUACAAUACUGUAAACUAUUAUUACAUAUCCGAACUUCUUGUACUUGUUCUAGAAUCAGAAUAUAAACCAUGUAUUUCAAUCAGAAAUAAUAAAAAUUACUAUACCAUGAAUCUGACGAUCUCAGAAACCCAUAUUUUAGAUAAUUAUUAAGUAAGAAUUUUAUUCAUAUCGAAAUAAAUUAUACAGACUUUGCCUUAUCUUUGACGAUUGUUCAAAUAUCAUUUUUCUUUUUCACAGACAGAGAUAAUUCCAGUCCAAAACCAUAGAAAUUCUAUCCCAUUUCCACUAUGGUAUCAUCACUGGCUGUAACAGUUCUGAAGACAUCUGUACCUGAUAUAAACAUUUAUAUGCAAAUUCAAAGUAUUGCUUUUCUUUUCCCAGUCUUCAACACAUCUGUCUCAAAUCACUGUACAUCUUAUUCUUCCAGAAUGCAUAGACAUAGUACUACUAUAAUUUCAUGCAAAUUCUCCUGUAUAGGUUCUGAAUCCCUUUGUUCAACUUUUAUUUCUAAAUUGCAAACAACCAUCAUAUUCAAUCCAAAAUGUUUAGUCAGAAAUCAUCUGUACACUAUACCCAUAUAAAAUCCCAAAAAUUUACUAUAAUAUACCCAGUUAUAACGGCUAUAUUCAAAUAUUUUUGCAAUUUAUUCACCAAUCUAUUGACUAGUAUAGUUAUCAAUAAUUUCACACCAUUUACUUCACUAAAAAAAACUAAUUCGGAAGAAAUUUUCAGUUAACUAUUCUGUAAAUACCAUAUUUAAAUAAAUCGAUUUUCCCAUAAAUAACUUCUUUCUUUAACAGUGAUACUGUAUAUCUCAACUAGUUUAAGAAAAAUCUGAUAUCUCUAUUCAGAACCCAUCUUUACUUAUUAACUCAUUCUCAGUUCCGACUGCAUUAUCAAUUGUUCAACCAUUAAGCUUUUCACUUUCCGCUUCUGAAUUUAAUCAAUAUAAAUCUCAUGAAUUUCAUUGCAUAUAAUUGUAUUAAUAAAGGGGUAUAGAUCGUAAAGCCUCAUAAUUUAAUUUUCAUGUAUUUACUCAUAUAACAUUUAUUAUUCUCAAGUAUUAUAAAACAUUUAUCCGUACUUUUACGAGUUCUGCUUCAUCAUAACUAACAUUUUUACUCAAGGAUAAUCCUUUAUCUUGUAACGAAAAUUGUUUACUUUUUAUUUAACAGAGGCCCAGUAGACUAAAUAGAACACUUCGGAUAUACAAGACUUAUACAGAGGUGCAUUAUUAUGCACUAAUGAACAGAGAGCACUGAAGUGCUAUACAGAGAGCACAAAUGUGCUAAUCAGAGAGCAUUGACGUGCUAAAUAUCAGAGAGCACAAAUGUGCUAAUCAGAGAGCACUGACGUGCUAAAUAUCAGAGAGCACAAAUGUGCUAAUAAUCAGAAAGCAUGCUGAGGUCCCUUAACAUCCUAGUAGUUCUAAUAUUGUCUACUUGGGCAAAUUAUUUCAUACAUGCAUAUCACUUUUACACCUUUCGCAUAAUACUUUUACAUGUUUUACAAUUUAAUCCUUGUACCAAUAAUUCAUAUACUUAUAUCUUCUGUAUCUUCAAUACAUGUAAUAUAUUUCAAAAUUCACUAUUCAUUCAUAAUUCUCUAAUAAUCCUUAUCAUGUACUUCAUAUAUUACAUUUAUAUAUUUUAUAAUUUAGUCAUCAGCACAAUAUUUCAUGUAGUAAUAUAAUUUGCUUUUAAUAAUACAUAUAACAUAAUAUUCAUCAUCGACAUGUAUUAUAAAACAUUUAUUCAUACUUUUUUUUACCAAUUCAUCAUAAUCAACUUUCUACUCGUAUACUCGAGUAUCGCUUUUAGCAUUAUCAGAAUUAGCUUGGUUGAAAAACAUCUCUUUCUAUAAGUAAAACAAAUUUCAUUAGAGUCGAGAGAUAUCACACUAUCACAUAUUUUAAUGACAUGUGUUUUUAAACUUCAUAUAUACUACGUUUGGUCCGAGAACCGACUAAACCAUAGCUCUGAUACCAUUAAAUGUAAUACCCCAUACCCGUACUUGAGACCGGGAUAGGGUACGAGGCAUUACCGAGAUUUUUAGAAUAAUUUCAAUUAAUUUAUAUUAUUUAGUAUUCAUUUUCAUGUUUCAUGUAACAUCUUUUUCAUAUAUUCAAUUCAAAAUGUCAUAUAAAAUACGAUACAAUACUUAAAUUGUCAUAUUUACAUGCUCAUUGAGGAUAUACGAACUUACCUGACUAAAUUGCAGAAAUACCAAGUUUUAGGGGCAUAUUAGUAAUUUACCAUUUUCCCAAAUUUCACCCAAUCUUAAAUUGAUAAUUUCAUUCAAUUUAUUAAUUUAGAUAAUAAAACAAUUCAUUCCCUUUAAUUUAGUCAUUUUUUAUAUUUUUACAAAAUUACCCUCUAAAGUUUUACUUUUAUUCAAUUUAGUCCAUGAGCUUAAAAUAUGCAAAUUAGCCAUGCUAACUGAAUAUACAUAUAUAUAUUUUUCCUCUUUCUCCUCUCCAUUCCACAUCCUUAAUGUAUAUAACACACUUGUAAGUAACAUUAUCUAUAAUUUUUUUUUUAUUUACUUUUAUGGAUAUUCAAGCUGUCCAUCUGUGUCAUAGUCACUAAAUUAUUUAUAUCUGGAGUUAUAAAACUCCAAAUUAAGAUCCUCUAAUUUUCCCUGAAACUAGACUCAUAUAUCUUCUUACCAUAAAAUUUUCAGAAUUUUUGGUUUAGCCAAUAAGUACAGUUUGUUCUUUAAAGUUACCCAUUUUCUGCUGUUUGACAGUUUCAACCCUUCUUCACUAAAAAUUAAUUAUCUCCUCAUACAGAAUUCGAAUGAUAUUCAUGUUUAUUUCUCUUGAAAAUAGACUCAUUUGUAAUUCUAAACAUAUAAAUUUAAGCCUCUAAUUAUUUUUAUCCAAAUUUUUAUGAUUUUUCAAAGUCAGAACAGGGGAACCCGAAUUCAUUCUGAUAUUGUCUCACAAAAUUCAUUAUAUCUCAUGAUUUACAAAUCCAUUGCUUACACUGUUUCUUCUAUAAGAAGCUAGACUCAAUAAUAUUUAAUUUCAUACCUUUCUUCAUCUUCUAAUUCGAUUUCUACAAUUUAUGGUGAUUUUUCAAAGUUAGUCUGCUGCUGCUGUCCAAUAUUGUUUUAGUGCAAGCUGUUUAUUACCAUUUUUCCCUUAAGCUUUAAUAAAUAACAAUUUCGUCCCUACUCAAUUAGCCUCUCAAUUGAGCUGAUUUUUCUCAAUUAACACUUUAUUCUAUCACUUUAAACUACUUUACAACUUUUGGAAAUCAUAAUUUCAGCACUAGACUUUAAUUCCAAACAUUUUCACAAUUAGGUCCUAACUAAUUCAUUCACUUCACUAACUUAAAUCAUACUCUAUUUCUAUUCAAGUUCCAUCCCAACUCAAAUUUAACUAUUAAAUUUUCAGCUUAUUUAACUAGUUUCGAAAUUUCCUCAAAUUAGCCCUUCAACAUAAAACUUAUGAAUUACUUUACAAUUCAAUCCUUAUUUCAUUUCUAACUUGAAUUUCUAUCAAUUUAACCCUUAUUUCAUCAUUUUACUCAACAUGAACAUUAUCUAGAAAUCUAAUAACUUUCAAAAUAUCAACUUAGUUUCAUCAAAAUCUUAUUCCAAAGCUUCUAAAACAUCAAAAUUAAGUAAAAAGGGCUAAAUUGACUUACCUAUUAAACUUCCAAGCUUCACACCUUGAAUUUUCCCUUUUCUUCUUUCUUUUCUCUUUUUCUUUCUUUCCUUCCCCUGCUCUCUGUUUCGUUUGCUUUGUUUCUUC
RNAcentral lists this long non-coding RNA (6506 nucleotides) under Gossypium barbadense (sea-island cotton). RNAcentral describes it as "long non-coding RNA (GBAR_LNC003656)". Lineage: Eukaryota; Viridiplantae; Streptophyta; Magnoliopsida; Malvales; Malvaceae. The record is from RNAcentral.